UACGUAGGUGGCAAGCGUUGUCCGGAAUUAUUGGGCGUAAAGCGCGCGCAGGCGGCCUUUUAAGUCUGAUGUGAAAGCCCACGGCUCAACCGUGGAAGGUCAUUGGAAACUGAAAGGCUUGAGUACAGAAGAGGAAAGCGGAAUUCCACGUGUAGCGGUGAAAUGCGUAGAGAUGUGGAGGAACACCGGUGGCGAAGGCGGCUCUCUGGACGGUGACUGACGCUGAGACGCGAAAGCGUGGGGAGCAAACAGG
Molecule: ribosomal RNA, 253 nt
Filed under: uncultured bacterium
Lineage: Bacteria
Description: partial 16S ribosomal RNA
Rfam family: Bacterial small subunit ribosomal RNA
Source: RNAcentral